RNAcentral lists this ribosomal RNA (473 nucleotides) under uncultured bacterium. Its description in RNAcentral is "bacterial SSU rRNA". It matches the Rfam family "Bacterial small subunit ribosomal RNA", at positions 335 to 802 of the family's 1533-position model. The record is from RNAcentral.
ACUCCUACGGGAGGCAGCAGUGGGGAAUAUUGCACAAUGGGGGAAACCCUGAUGCAGCCAUGCCGCGUGUGUGAAGAAGGCCUUCGGGUUGUAAAGCACUUUCAGUAGGGAGGAAGGUAGUGUAGUUAACACCUGCAUUAUUUGACGUUACCUACAGAAGAAGCACCGGCUAACUCCGUGCCAGCAGCCGCGGUAAUACGGAGGGUGCGAGCGUUAAUCGGAAUUACUGGGCGUAAAGCGCAUGCAGGCGGCCUGUUAAGUCAGAUGUGAAAGCCCGGGGCUUAACCUCGGAAUUGCAUUUGAAACUGGCAGGCUAGAGUCUUGUAGAGGGGUUAGAAUUUCAGGUGUAGCGGUGAAAUGCGUAGAGAUCUGAAGGAAUACCGAGUGGCGAAGGCGGCCCCUAGGACAAAGACUGACGCUCAGAUGCGAAAGCGUGGGAGCAAACAGGAUUAGAUACCCCUGGUAGACUGUCA